UACGCUCAAAUCAUGUUGAAACACCGGUCCCCGUACAAUCACAGAAGUUAAGCAACGUCGAGCCUGGUCAGUCCCUACUGGGUAACCGUUUGGGAAUACAAGGUACUGUAUG
Non-coding RNA from Acanthosepion pharaonis, 112 nucleotides. The record is from the annotation of a GenBank genome assembly. Lineage: Eukaryota; Metazoa; Mollusca; Cephalopoda; Sepiida; Sepiidae.